Molecule: ribosomal RNA, 1708 nt
Filed under: Shewanella chilikensis
Lineage: Bacteria; Pseudomonadati; Pseudomonadota; Gammaproteobacteria; Alteromonadales; Shewanellaceae
Description: bacterial LSU rRNA
Rfam family: Bacterial large subunit ribosomal RNA
Source: RNAcentral
CCCGCUGGAGGUAUCAGAAGUGCGAAUGCUGACAUGAGUAACGAUAAAGGGGGUGAAAAACCCCCUCGCCGAAAGACCAAGGGUUCCUGUCCAACGUUAAUCGGGGCAGGGUGAGUCGACCCCUAAGGCGAGGCUGAAAGGCGUAGUCGAUGGGAAACGGGUUAAUAUUCCCGUACUUCUGCUAACUGCGAUGGAGAGACGGAGAAGGCUAGGCCAGCGCGGCGUUGGUUGUCCGCGUUUAAGGUAGUAGGUGGUGUGCUUAGGCAAAUCCGGGCACACAUACACUGAGAGCUGAUGACGAGUCCCCAAGGGGAUGAAGUGGUUGAUGCCAUGCUUCCAGGAAAAUCUUCUAAGCUUCAGGUUAGUAGAAAUCGUACCCCAAACCGACACAGGUGGUCGGGUAGAGAAUACCAAGGCGCUUGAGAGAACUCGGCUGAAGGAACUAGGCAAAAUGGUACCGUAACUUCGGGAGAAGGUACGCUGCCGGCGGUGAAGACCUCGCGUCGUAAGCUGCUGGCAGUCGCAGAUACCAGGUGGCUGCAACUGUUUAUCAAAAACACAGCACUGUGCAAAAUCGCAAGAUGACGUAUACGGUGUGACGCCUGCCCGGUGCCGGAAGGUUAAUUGAUUGGGUUAUCUUCGGAGAAGCUCAUGAUCGAAGCCCCGGUAAACGGCGGCCGUAACUAUAACGGUCCUAAGGUAGCGAAAUUCCUUGUCGGGUAAGUUCCGACCUGCACGAAUGGCGUAAUGAUGGCCACGCUGUCUCCAGCCGAGACUCAGUGAAGUUGAAAUUGCGGUGAAGAUGCCGUAUACCCGCGGCUAGACGGAAAGACCCCGUGAACCUUUACUAUAGCUUGGCACUGAACAUUGACCCUACAUGUGUAGGAUAGGUGGGAGACUAUGAAGAUGAGACGCCAGUCUUGUUGGAGUCAACCUUGAAAUACCACCCUUGUAGUGUUGAUGUUCUAACCUUGGUCCCUUAUCGGGAUUAGGGACAGUGCCUGGUGGGUAGUUUGACUGGGGCGGUCUCCUCCCAAAGAGUAACGGAGGAGCACGAAGGUUGGCUAAGUACGGUCGGACAUCGUACGGUUAGUGCAAUGGCAUAAGCCAGCUUAACUGCGAGACAGACACGUCGAGCAGAUGCGAAAGCAGGUCAUAGUGAUCCGGUGGUUCUGAAUGGAAGGGCCAUCGCUCAACGGAUAAAAGGUACUCCGGGGAUAACAGGCUGAUACCGCCCAAGAGUUCAUAUCGACGGCGGUGUUUGGCACCUCGAUGUCGGCUCAUCACAUCCUGGGGCUGAAGUCGGUCCCAAGGGUAUGGCUGUUCGCCAUUUAAAGUGGUACGCGAGCUGGGUUCAGAACGUCGUGAGACAGUUCGGUCCCUAUCUGCCGUGGGCGUUGGAUGAUUGAGGGGAGCUGCUCCUAGUACGAGAGGACCGGAGUGGACGAACCGCUGGUGUUCGGGUUGUCAUGCCAAUGGCAUUGCCCGGUAGCUACGUUCGGAAUCGAUAACCGCUGAAAGCAUCUAAGCGGGAAGCGAGCCCCAAGAUGAGUCAUCCCUAGGUCCUAGAGACCUCUGAAGAGCCGUUCGAGACCAGGACGUUGAUAGGCAGGGUGUGUAAGCGUUGCGAGGCGUUGAGCUAACCUGUACUAAUGACUCGAGAGGCUUAACCAUACAACCCAGAUGGGUUUUACGGACUUGAAGAAGU